Molecule: ribosomal RNA, 854 nt
Filed under: Tchangsinaia piscicula
Lineage: Eukaryota; Metazoa; Mollusca; Bivalvia; Unionida; Unionidae
Description: 12S ribosomal RNA
Source: RNAcentral
AAUAUUUCAUUGACGUAUAAGAUUAGCUAUACCAAUUAAACUACAUAUGGUAGCUCACACAUAUUGUGCAUAACGAACUAGCUUUAAUAAGCUUUUAAAAAGCUUAUCUCUCUAAGGCUAAUCCGAAAACACUUGCCCCAGUGUUUAAACCUUUCACAACACCAAUGUCCUAUAUUACAUUAGCUAGGAAACUAGGCCCUAGAAAAUAAGUAAAAGGGGUGGCAAAAAUGGUGCCAGCAGUCGCGGUUAUACCAGAUACCCCAAGUUAAUUAUAUCAAAUCGGGAUAAUUAUUAAUCUAAAGGACUACAAAACUAAUUUUUAACGUAAAAAAUAAAUCAAAACCAAACCCAAUUCAGUCAUUAUCUAAUUAUCCCAACAAACCACAACCCCAGAACUCGGAUUAGAUACCCGACUACUGCGUGGCUCAACAUAAAAAAAGAAUACUACGAGCGAAAGCUUAAACCUCAAACAAUGUGGCGGUGCUCUACUCCUUAUCAGGGGAUCCUGUAGCUUAAUUCGAUAAUCCACGAAAAUCUUAGCUAUUCUUGAAACUCAGCUUGUGUAUGGCCGUUUAUGCUUGCUCAAAGAAGAAAAAAAAGGAAGCAAUAGAACUAAUCAUUCAAAAAUUCAGGUGACAUACAGCCAAUGAAAAGCAGGUCUAUGGGAUACAAAUAAACAUACUAGCGAAUUUAAGGCUUCAAACCCUUAAUGAAGGAGGACUUGAAAGUAAGACUUACCUUACAUAAAAUAAAUCUGAAUAAGAACUAAAGCGCGCACAAAUCGCCCGUCACUCCGACAACAAAGUAGGAUAAGUCGUAACAUAGUAGGGGUAAUGGAAAUUGCCCCUAUCACA